ACUCCUACGGGAGGCAGCAGUGGGGAAUAUUGCACAAUGGGCGCAAGCCUGAUGCAGCCAUGCCGCGUGUAUGAAGAAGGCCUUCGGGUUGUAAAGUACUUUCAGCGGGGAGGAAGGCGAUAAGGUUAAUAACCUUGUUGAUUGACGUUACCCGCAGAAGAAGCACCGGCUAACUCCGUGCCAGCAGCCGCGGUAAUACGGAGGGUGCAAGCGUUAAUCGGAAUUACUGGGCGUAAAGCGCACGCAGGCGGUCUGUCAAGUCGGAUGUGAAAUCCCCGGGCUCAACCUGGGAACUGCAUUCGAAACUGGCAGGCUAGAGUCUUGUAGAGGGGGGUAGAAUUCCAGGUGUAGCGGUGAAAUGCGUAGAGAUCUGGAGGAAUACCGGUGGCGAAGGCGGCCCCCUGGACAAAGACUGACGCUCAGGUGCGAAAGCGUGGGGAGCAAACAGGAUUAGAAACCCUAGUAGUCCCAU
This 472-nucleotide ribosomal RNA is filed under the name uncultured organism. RNAcentral describes it as "partial 16S ribosomal RNA". It matches the Rfam family "Bacterial small subunit ribosomal RNA", at positions 335 to 798 of the family's 1533-position model. The record is from RNAcentral.